This 76-nucleotide transfer RNA is filed under the name Tenderia electrophaga (SeqCode). Its description in RNAcentral is "Candidatus Tenderia electrophaga tRNA-Thr". It matches the Rfam family "tRNA". Rfam says of the family: Transfer RNA (tRNA) molecules are approximately 80 nucleotides in length. Their secondary structure includes four short double-helical elements and three loops (D, anti-codon, and T loops). Lineage: Bacteria; Pseudomonadati; Pseudomonadota; Gammaproteobacteria; Tenderiales (SeqCode); Tenderiaceae (SeqCode). The record is from RNAcentral.
GCCGGAUUAGCUCAGCUGGUAGAGCAACGCAUUCGUAAUGCGUAGGUCGUAGGUUCGAAUCCUAUAUCCGGCACCA